RNAcentral lists this ribosomal RNA (704 nucleotides) under Bacillus wiedmannii. RNAcentral's name for it is "partial 23S ribosomal RNA". It matches the Rfam family "Bacterial large subunit ribosomal RNA", at positions 1 to 698 of the family's 2925-position model. Lineage: Bacteria; Bacillati; Bacillota; Bacilli; Caryophanales; Bacillaceae. The record is from RNAcentral.
UUUGGUUAAGUUAGAAAGGGCGCACGGUGGAUGCCUUGACACUAGGAGUCGAUGAAGGACGGGACUAACGCCGAUAUGCUUCGGGGAGCUGUAAGUAAGCUUUGAUCCGAAGAUUUCCGAAUGGGGAAACCCACCAUACGUAAUGGUAUGGUAUCCUUACCUGAAUACAUAGGGUAAGGAAGACAGACCCAGGGAACUGAAACAUCUAAGUACCUGGAGGAAGAGAAAGCAAAUGCGAUUUCCUGAGUAGCGGCGAGCGAAACGGAACAUAGCCCAAACCAAGAGGCUUGCCUCUUGGGGUUGUAGGACAUUCUAUACGGAGUUACAAAGGAACGAGGUAGACGAAGCGACCUGGAAAGGUCCGUCGUAGAGGGUAACAACCCCGUAGUCGAAACUUCGUUCUCUCUUGAAUGUAUCCUGAGUACGGCGGAACACGUGAAAUUCCGUCGGAAUCUGGGAGGACCAUCUCCCAAGGCUAAAUACUCCCUAGUGAUCGAUAGUGAACCAGUACCGUGAGGGAAAGGUGAAAAGCACCCCGGAAGGGGAGUGAAAGAGAUCCUGAAACCGUGUGCCUACAAAUAGUCAGAGCCCGUUAAUGGGUGAUGGCGUGCCUUUUGUAGAAUGAACCGGCGAGUUACGAUCCCGUGCGAGGUUAAGCUGAAGAGGCGGAGCCGCAGCGAAAGCGAGUCUGAAUAGGGCGUUUA